RNA transcript from Mesocricetus auratus (golden hamster), 2433 nucleotides. It is a transcript of the gene named chromosome unknown C11orf16 homolog, with no coding region annotated. NCBI's taxonomy places the organism in Eukaryota, Metazoa, Chordata, Mammalia, Rodentia, Cricetidae. The transcript has 7 exons. The record is from RefSeq and is a predicted model, not a curated record.
CUUGUGUUGCCUGCUGGAUCACAUCCAUAGCAACCUGCUUGGAAACCUGCCUGGGAACCAAGAGUUGUUGGGCCAAAGCCAUGAGUGCCAACUGUCAGAUGGGGCUGAGACUGGGACAAGGCCGUGGCCUGGGCUGGAUUUGGGGUGUUAGGUGGGUGCUCUGAAGGUCAUGCAUCCCUCUAGCAAGCCUGAGCUGCGUCUGCCCAAAUACUGCAGCGUGGCCACAAUCCGGAAAGCCCCUGACCCGGACGGUGCUGCAUCACCCUGGGACCUCCCCUUCACCUGUCCCUUUGCCAGGAAAGCACCCUGGCUGCCCAUCAGCUGCACACUCACCAGGUGUGCCUCUUGUCACCCAUGUUCCCGUACUGCUGAUGCACCAUGGCAAGGGCUCAGUUGGCUGGGAAGAGUCGGAGAUGCUGCUGGCCCCUGGGUCCUGGCCAGGAGGGAACCGGAUGGCUUUUACUAUCUGGCUCAGAUAAAGGCUGCCCCAGAGCUGGAGAGGCGGGGGGCCUUGGUUGUGGAAUUUGAGGCUCCCCUUGUCACAGGCCUAAAGCUGCCAGCCCAGCAACGGAGAGUGGUAUUUCCAGAAGAUGUCAUUCAGUUCUCACCAUCCGUGGCACACUCACUGCAACCUGGUGACAAGGUGCUGGCACCUUUGGAAUCAGAGCAACAACAGUUUGGCCCUGCCACUGUUCUCUUGGGCUUGAAGAAACAAAAAGGCCAAACAGCAUCUAAAGAAGAAGAAAUCACUGUUCACUUCUGGAAUGGCAAGAUGGCUAAGGUUCCUCUAGACAGGGUCAGGUGGGUGUCCCUCACUGUCUGGAAGAAGGCUGUGGAGAGACUACAAACACCUCACACCGGGGAGUACCACAGUCCUUUCAUUUGGGUGCCUCACUGCUCUCCUCUGGGACCUAAGACAGGAAGCUUCACACACAGGCCCUGUCUGGACUCUUCCUUCUCAUGCUCUCCUGGCCCCUCCUGUGCCCGCUGCCAGUUUCUGUAUCAGAGCUGUUUCUGUGGCUGCCCUUUGGUGGGGCCUAGCUGGUGGUCUCUAACUAGGACCUCAGAGGUCACAACCAGAAAACUCCCAGAGCCAGAGCUGGAGCCCACAGCUCAGCUUCUGCCCCUACAAAGUCCCAAAGAGGAGGCAGUAGCAGCAUUCAGAUGCAAUCUGUCCUCCUUCUCUGAGGAAGAGAAUUCAGAGAGUCAUCUGGAGACGGGACCUCCCCAGAGACAGAUGGUGAGCAGGGCAGUCAACACUGACCCCAUCCUUUCUGAGAAGUCUCUGCAGCAGCGUGACCCCUGGCAGCCGGAGUGGAGGUACUGGAGGCGAAAUGGGCCUGAGCCACCCCCUGGAAAACCAGUUUUGUAUCCUUGUAAGGAAACGUACUGCCUGGCUUAUAAGAAGGAUUGGUUAUUCAGUCAAUACUAAGUACCAGCACUCCAUCAGACAGUACUUGAAAUCAGUGUCAAGUUCCAAAGCUUGACUGUCAGUCGUCAGCUCUACCUGUUGUGAUCCUCUGGAACAAGACGUUGCCACAAUAAGAAAAAAGACAAGGACAAUCAACAAGACAGAGUGUGAAUUGCAAUUGUGGGGACUAUCCAGGAGCUAGCCCUGAAAGCCACCAACGUGAAACCAUGGCAGAUUCAACCAGAAGCUGCACACAGACAACGAUGUCAGUGCAUUGGGACAACCAGAGGAACUCCUUAAGCAGUUUUUUCUGGGGUGAUAUUCUGUUUGAGAAUGGUAAAACUAUGGCUCCGUUCCAGAAACCCACACAUACCCACUGUUUUGCAUGUCAGAAGACUUAGAGGACCCUCAAAAUUCAUUCCAGUCUUCUGGGGGUAAGUGCAAGGAGCCCUAUAAAAAGUUUCUAGCACCUAUAAACCCCAAGAUUUGGGAAGUUGAGGCUGGAGGAUUGCUUCAAGUGUGAGACCAGCUUAGGUAACUGUGUACAUUGAGUUCCAGGACAGGCUCCAAAACUACACAGAGAAACCCUGUCUUGAAAAAUCAAAAACCAAAACAAAAGAAAACAAACAACAAAAAGCCAAUCUUUAAAACUAUAGUCAGUAUAUAAGAUUUAAGAUUUUUCUCCUAGAGGAAGUUAGGGAUAAUAAGGUAAACACUUGAAAAGGGGUUAAAAAGAGUGGCUGACCAAGCCUUGACAGGAGAUUAAGCAUAGGUUGUAGGUGAGUGUCUAACAGUACUGCUCCCCUGAGACUUCCUGCAGGUAAGCAGCAUUUGGAAAACAUUUGUUGUGAGGGGCGCAGGAGCUGGUGGUCCUGCACUGGAACUCCCUCCCAAGGGCCUGACGAACACUUAUUCACAAAAGGGACAGGGUGUGCCCACUGCUGUCUUCUCAUAAAAUCUACAGCUCUACAUGGGGAACGCUGUUUCUUUCUUUUUAAUAUCAAUAAAAUGAAUUCCUUUUA